Long non-coding RNA from Harpegnathos saltator (Jerdon's jumping ant), 300 nucleotides. RefSeq lists it as uncharacterized. The record is from RefSeq and is a predicted model, not a curated record. The transcript is spliced from 3 exons. NCBI's taxonomy places the organism in Eukaryota, Metazoa, Arthropoda, Insecta, Hymenoptera, Formicidae.
UAGUGUUGGGAAAUAGAAAAUCACAUGGUUGGCAUCUUGACGAGAUUCACCACAAGUACAAUCUGGGGCAGUGCAGCAUCAUGGCUAACAAUGAUGUUAUACUUGUAAAAGGACGACAUUUUUCAGUGUUCGAUUCUCAGCAAGAAAUUGAAAGAGGAAAGAAUGGUGGAAUCUUAGUUACAGAUAAAAUUAGUGGAUUACUGUUUGAACUGCCGCUUUCACCGAAGGUUAUGGAAUUUUUUGAUAUUUAUGUAACAGAUAAAAGUGAAACAUUACCAGAGAAAGCAACUGAAGUUAAUG